Molecule: ribosomal RNA, 450 nt
Filed under: uncultured prokaryote
Description: bacterial SSU rRNA
Rfam family: Bacterial small subunit ribosomal RNA
Source: RNAcentral
UCGAGAAUAAUUCACAAUGGACGAAAGUCUGAUGGUGCAACGCCGCGUGGAGGAUGACGGUCUUCGGAUUGUAAACUCCUGUCAUCGGGGAGUAAGACCUGGGUGUUAAUAGCACACAGGGUUGAUAGUACCCGAAGAGGAAGGGACGGCUAACUUCGUGCCAGCAGCCGCGGUAAUACGAAGGUCCCAAGCGUUGUUCGGAAUCACUGGGCGUAAAGGGAGCGUAGGCGGUCUGGUAAGUCAGAUGUGAAAUCCCGGGGCUCAACCUCGGAACUGCAUUUGAUACUGCCAUGACUAGAGUAAUGGAGGGGUAGCUGGAAUUCUCGGUGUAGCAGUGAAAUGCGUAGAUAUCGAGAGGAACACUCGUGGCGAAGGCGAGCUACUGGACAUUUACUGACGCUGAGGCUCGAAGGCCAGGGUAGCGAAAGGGAUUAGAUACCCCCGUAGUCC